This 427-nucleotide ribosomal RNA is filed under the name uncultured bacterium. RNAcentral's name for it is "bacterial SSU rRNA". It matches the Rfam family "Bacterial small subunit ribosomal RNA", at positions 354 to 796 of the family's 1533-position model. The record is from RNAcentral.
GUAACGAAUAUUCCACAAUGGGCGCAAGCCUGAUGGAGCGAUACCGCGUGCGGGACGAAGCCCUUCGGGGUGUAAACCGCUGUCAGGGGUUACCAAACCAAUUGAGGAGCCCCAGAGGAAGAGACGGCUAACUCUGUGCCAGCAGCCGCGGUAAUACAGAGGUCUCGAGCGUUAAUCGGAGUCACUGGGCUUAAAGGGUGCGUAGGCGGGUCCACAAGUGCUUUGUGAAAUCCCACGGCUCAACCGUGGAAUGGCUGGGCAGACUGUGGAUCUUGAGGUCAGUAGGGGUCGCUGGAACUCUAGGUGGAGCGGUGAAAUGCGUAGAUAUCUAGAGGAACGCCCAAGGUGAAGACAGGCGACUGGGCUGAAUCUGACGCUGAGGCACGAAAGCGUGGGUAGCAAACGGGAUUAGAAACCCGAGUAGUCC